GGCUAAGCUUCGUAGUGACCUGCGGAGGAUCAUUACCGAGUGCGGGCCCUCUGGGUCCAACCUCCCAUCCGUGUCUAUCUGUACCCUGUUGCUUCGGCGUGGCCACGGCCCGCCGAAGACUAACAUUUGAACACUGUCUGAAGUUUGCAGUCUGAGUUUUUAGUUAAACAAUAAUUAAAACUUUCAACAACGGAUCUCUUGGUUCCGGCAUCGAUGAAGAACGCAGCGAAAUGCGAUAAUUAAUGUGAAUUGCAGAAUUCAGUGAAUCAUCGAGUCUUUGAACGCACAUUGCGCCCCCUGGUAUUCCGGGGGGCAUGCCUGUCCGAGCGUCAUUGCUGCCCUCAAGCACGGCUUGUGUGUUGGGCUUCCGUCCCUGGUAACGGGGACGGGCCCAAAAGGCAGUGGCGGCACCAUGUCUGGUCCUCGAGCGUAUGGGGCUUUGUCACCCGCUCCCGUAGGUCCAGCUGGCAGCUAGCCUCGCAACCAAUCUUUUUAACCAGGUUGACCUCGGAUCAGGUAGGGAUACCCGCUGAACUUAAGCAUAUCAAUAAGCGGAGGAA
Molecule: ribosomal RNA, 560 nt
Filed under: Aspergillus proliferans
Lineage: Eukaryota; Fungi; Ascomycota; Eurotiomycetes; Eurotiales; Aspergillaceae
Description: eukaryotic LSU rRNA
Rfam family: 5.8S ribosomal RNA (bases 179-332)
Source: RNAcentral